Molecule: long non-coding RNA, 1511 nt
Organism: Anopheles gambiae (African malaria mosquito)
Lineage: Eukaryota; Metazoa; Arthropoda; Insecta; Diptera; Culicidae
Exons: 2
Source: RefSeq, a predicted model, not a curated record
UGACUGGGUAAACUGAGCUACUUUGAUCUACUCGGUGUCAAAUUUAUCAAUGCAAUUCAUCAAAAACGAGAGCGAAAUUGUCGCAAAAAACGUUUUCGUUUCAAUCAUAAUAUGCCAUUCUAUUAAGUCACUAAUAUUAAGAUGUGUCGUACAAAUUUAGAAAUUAAAAAACAGGCUAUGAGCAGCCUGGUCUCCAUACACCUUGGGCUUGGAGAACGAUUGUUGUUGAUGUGUGUUUAAUAUUUACAUUUCAAGAGGCAUAGCAAGCGGAAAACGGUUUGGUUUGUUAUUCGAAGCUAGGAGAUAAAAUUGCAAACGGUUCGUGUUUCAUACCAUUUAACAUAUCAGCAAGUCGAAGCACACGUAGAAUGGGAUCGAGGUAACGGCUUCAUAUUUUGGAACCAUGCACCAGCGUUGGAUGCUGGUGUCAUACUUAGCACUCAUACUUAAUUCAUGGAACGGUUUAUAAUGUAAUAAGCUCGCUUAUAAUGUAUGUAUACAGGAGUGAAUUGCCACGAUUACGACGGUGCAGGCCAUUUGACGUGCCGGCUGAUUCUUUGACCGAUCCAGUUUUGACUACCACAUUUGCUCGCUUUGAUGCCACCAUGCUGUUGCAUGCCAUUGCCGAGAUAAGCAUCUACUUGGCUGUGAAUCCACUGGAUUCGAUAUCGCGAAUAAUGAACCCAAAACAUCACCGACACUGAACAUUAUAACAUUUACCGUGGCGUGCAGUGGAUCCUGUAGAACUACAGGACGCUCCAGGAAAUAAUUCCCAUCCUGACAAUGAAUGAGCUGUUCGUAGUAUUGCACAUAGUGCAUUGUGCUAGCACUUUUCGCACAGUUUGGUCUACGAGAACGGUGCGCUUUUUGUGCUCUCAACGUGCUAUGCGCUUUGAGUUUUUGAGCCCUGUCCGCUCUUUGAACACUUGAGGUUUGGUCUCCAUUUUUUCCACGUCCACGUAAAACUUUCCGCACAGUCGCGUACUUUAAGCGCUGUGUUGUAAUGCGCGCUUAAUAUGAUUUGCUGUGCGCAUGAUGCGCCGUUUCCAGCGUUUCGAAUUACAGGCGUUUCAGGUCACAGAAGUGUUCACGGGCUAUGCCGGCAAGCUGGUGAACAAAGAGAACAUUAUCAAGGUUUACACCAUGCUCAUGAACGGCAAACUCGACCAACUGACGGAGAUUGCCUUUUGGUCAUGGUCGGUACGAUCGAGAAUUUUGGCAAAACGAAGUAAAGCGUCUGGCCAAGGAACCGGCCUAAGAAUCCGGUCGACUCAAAAAGAUAAAGUAGGCAGUUUUCCAGUACUUGCGUCGGCGUUCGAAUUCGGUUGGAAAACGAUCAAGCAGAGCUCCUCGGAUGUGAACUCACUUCAGCGGCACCUCCUCAUUCACUGUGCUGUUAGUGUAAUAAUUUUAAUCGAAUCGGUGAUAUUUUUAGCAUACGAGGCGUGUAAUUUGUUAGUUUCUCCAUAGUGCAAAUAUAAAAAGAUGUUUUGUAGAUGGAUGAAAAGGUA